RNAcentral lists this long non-coding RNA (372 nucleotides) under Populus trichocarpa (black cottonwood). RNAcentral describes it as "long non-coding RNA (PTRI_LNC000413)". The record is from RNAcentral. Lineage: Eukaryota; Viridiplantae; Streptophyta; Magnoliopsida; Malpighiales; Salicaceae.
AAACCUUUUGCAGCUUUAGGAGAGUUCUCAUCACUGUUCCAUUUCUUCCUGGAGUGGAUUGGUUCUGGGUUUAUUUCAUCAGGUGGUGGGGUCGAUAUUUCUAUUUCAGAUUUCUCAGGUAACUCCAAAAUUUCACUGAAUCCACCAUUUUCUCUGAUAUUGACAGCGCAUAGGUUCAGAGCCUUAUUUGGUGACUCUGGCACAUGAUGUAUUGUUGUUUCAGAUGUGUACUCACCAUGAUCACCAGGUGUUUCUAUGUAUUCACAAACAACUGGAGCUACUUUAGAGAAUCCCUCGUCACCUGCAGAUGAGUCUUUGUGGAGAGAAUCACCAUUGCAGCCUUUAUCAUCUAAGCUAUCUCCUGAAAUCAUA